GUGGGUGUAACUCGGUGGUAGAGUGUCACCUUCCCAAGGUGAAGGUCGCGAGUUCGAAUCUUGUCUCACGCUCCA
RNAcentral lists this transfer RNA (75 nucleotides) under Desulfosporosinus sp. Sb-LF. Its description in RNAcentral is "tRNA-Gly". It matches the Rfam family "tRNA". Rfam says of the family: Transfer RNA (tRNA) molecules are approximately 80 nucleotides in length. Their secondary structure includes four short double-helical elements and three loops (D, anti-codon, and T loops). Further hydrogen bonds mediate the characteristic L-shaped molecular structure. tRNAs have two regions of fundamental functional importance: the anti-codon, which is responsible for specific mRNA codon recognition, and the 3' end, to which the tRNAs corresponding amino acid is attached (by aminoacyl-tRNA synthetases). tRNAs cope with the degeneracy of the genetic code in two manners: having more than one tRNA (with a specific anti-codon) for a particular amino acid; and 'wobble' base-pairing, i.e. permitting non-standard base-pairing at the 3rd anti-codon position. Lineage: Bacteria; Bacillati; Bacillota; Clostridia; Eubacteriales; Desulfitobacteriaceae. The record is from RNAcentral.